Molecule: non-coding RNA, 74 nt
Organism: Gemmatimonadetes bacterium 13_1_20CM_4_66_11
Lineage: Bacteria; Pseudomonadati; Gemmatimonadota
Source: Rfam
CGGGGUGUGGCGCAGUCCGGUAGCGCGCCUGGUUUGGGACCAGGAGGUCGCGGGUUCGAAUCCCGCCGCCCCGA